GCAUCGAUGAAGAACGCAGCCAAAUGCGAUAUCUAGUGCGAAUUGCAUGAAUCUGUGAGUCAUCUAGUAUUUGAACGCAACUUGCGCCGAUUCCUCGGCAUGUUCCGGUGAGGGUUGGUUGAAAUAUGGAUUAUAUUCGAUAUGGCUGUCUGUGUAUGGGAGUGCAAGCUCCUGUACACUCGGUCUAAUUAAAGCAAGAACUGGAGGGUUCUAGAGAGCCGAGUGCCAAGCAUUCUUGGGUCUCUAUGACCCACCAACUACACGCUCACUACACAACCUCAUCUGGAGCAGGACUACCCGCUGAACUUAAGCAUAUCAAUAAGCGGAGGA
This 330-nucleotide ribosomal RNA is filed under the name uncultured fungus. RNAcentral's name for it is "eukaryotic LSU rRNA". The stretch from base 1 to 117 matches the Rfam family "5.8S ribosomal RNA", at positions 30 to 154 of the family's 154-position model. The record is from RNAcentral. Lineage: Eukaryota; Fungi.